Molecule: transfer RNA, 87 nt
Filed under: Caudoviricetes sp.
Lineage: Duplodnaviria; Heunggongvirae; Uroviricota; Caudoviricetes
Description: tRNA-Cys
Rfam family: tRNA
About the family: Transfer RNA (tRNA) molecules are approximately 80 nucleotides in length. Their secondary structure includes four short double-helical elements and three loops (D, anti-codon, and T loops). Further hydrogen bonds mediate the characteristic L-shaped molecular structure. tRNAs have two regions of fundamental functional importance: the anti-codon, which is responsible for specific mRNA codon recognition, and the 3' end, to which the tRNAs corresponding amino acid is attached (by aminoacyl-tRNA synthetases). tRNAs cope with the degeneracy of the genetic code in two manners: having more than one tRNA (with a specific anti-codon) for a particular amino acid; and 'wobble' base-pairing, i.e. permitting non-standard base-pairing at the 3rd anti-codon position.
Source: RNAcentral
GUGAACGUAGCCAAGUGGAUUAAGGCCCCGGUCUGCAAAACCGUGUGACCCAAAAGGGCGUGGGUUCGAAUCCCACCGUUCACUCCA